GACGAACGCUGGCGGCGUGCUUAACACAUGCAAGUCGAACGGAAAGGCCCCUUUGGGGGUACUCCAGUGGCGAACGGGUGAGUAACACGUGAGUAACCUGCCCUUGACUUCGGGAUAACUUCAGGAAACUGGGGCUAAUACCGGAUAGGAAUCCUUGCUGCAUGGUGGGGGUUGGAAAGCUUCGGCGGUUUUGGAUGGACUCGCGGCUUAUCAGCUUGUUGGUGGGGUAGUGGCUUACCAAGGCUUUGACGGGUAGCCGGCCUGAGAGGGCGACCGGCCACAUUGGGACUGAGAUACGGCCCAGACUCCUACGGGAGGCAGCAGUGGGGAAUAUUGCACAAUGGGCGGAAGCCUGAUGCAGCAACGCCGCGUGCGGGAUGACGGCCUUCGGGUUGUAAACCGCUUUCAGCAGGGGCGAAGCUUGUGGUGACGGUACCUGCAGAAGAAGCACCGGCUAACUACGUG
This 465-nucleotide ribosomal RNA is filed under the name uncultured bacterium. RNAcentral describes it as "partial 16S ribosomal RNA". It matches the Rfam family "Bacterial small subunit ribosomal RNA", at positions 28 to 507 of the family's 1533-position model. The record is from RNAcentral.